GCCGGGCAUCGUGGCGGGUGCCUGUAAUCCCAGCUACUUGGGAGGCUGAGGCAGAGAAUUGCAUGAACCCAGGAGGCCGAGGUUGCAGUGAGCUGAGAUCAUGCCACUGCACUCCAGCCUGGGCAACAGAGCAAGACUCUGUCUCAA
Molecule: non-coding RNA, 147 nt
Organism: Pan troglodytes (chimpanzee)
Lineage: Eukaryota; Metazoa; Chordata; Mammalia; Primates; Hominidae
Rfam family: Metazoan signal recognition particle RNA
About the family: The signal recognition particle (SRP) is a universally conserved ribonucleoprotein. It is involved in the co-translational targeting of proteins to membranes.
Source: Rfam